This is an RNA transcript of Cervus elaphus (red deer), 1723 nucleotides long. It is a transcript of the gene named 40S ribosomal protein S10-like, with no coding region annotated. NCBI's taxonomy places the organism in Eukaryota, Metazoa, Chordata, Mammalia, Artiodactyla, Cervidae. The transcript has a single exon. The record is from RefSeq and is a predicted model, not a curated record.
AUGAUGUUGAUGCCCAAGAAGAACCGGAUUGGCAUUUAUGAACUCCUUUUUAAGGCAGGGGUGAUGGUGACCAAGAAGAAUGUCCACAUGUCCUAGCACCUGGAGCUGUCAGACAAGAACGUGCCCAAUCUGCACGUCACGAAAGCCAUGCAGUCUCUCAAAUCACGAGGCUAUGUGAAAGAACAGUUUGCCUGGAGACACUUCUACUGCCACCUCACCAACAAGGGCAUCCUCCAACCUUCUCCCUGAGAUUGUGCCUGCCACCCUGUGCCACAGCCAUCCUGAGACUGGCUGGCCAUGGCCCAAAAGAUUGGAGGGAGAGCGACCUGCAAGGCUCACACCGAGGGGAAGCUGACAGAAACACCUACAGAUGAAAUGCCUUGCCCCCUGGUGCCGACAAGAAAGCUGAGGCUGGGGCUGGGUCAGCAACUGAAUUCCAGUUUAGAGGCGGAUUUGGUCAUGGACAUGGUCAGCCACCUCAGUAAAGUUGAAAGAGAUUGUUUUGUGUUGAAUAAACCUGUAAACAGAAAAAAUUUUUUAAAUGUCUAGAUAGAGCAGAGCUGGAAAUAUACAUUUGGGAGUUGUCAGUGGGAUUUGAAGUUAUGGGGUUAGAUGAGAUCUUGUGUCAGGGGUCCCCAGGACCACCCUCAGGCUCAAUGAUUUGCUAGAAGGAUUCACAGGACCUCCAAGUUGUUAUGAUCAUUGUUAUGGCUCAUGGCAGCAAAAGGACAGAGAGUAAAAUCAGCAAAAGGAAAAGGUACAGAUGGUGAAAUCUGGAAGAAACUAUGUUCCUCAGUUUCCAGGAAGUUGACCAAGAACUAGUCCUUUGAAAUAGGCUUUUCUGGGGGGGAAUAGGUAGGGUAUGAGCAACUCAGACCUGCUGAGUUAACCUUUUCCCCUACAGAUCCCAAAGAGAGUGGAUGAAGACAGGAAAAGAGUAGGGGCUGACAAACUAAGCACUGGUCCCUCCAACAUUUAUAGUUUGAGGUGGAGGAUUCAGCAAAGGAAACGGGCUGUCCUUUUAUCCUGCUGAGAACUUCCUCCUUGCUUCCCCUGAAUAUCAGUGGAACAGAUCACACUCUCCCUCUCAUCUUUGUCUUUAAAGCAAAUGAAUUUAUAACUUCCUUGCUCUUCCGUAGAUGUUGAGCCCUCACCCAACUCAUGGACAAUAGAACCUCAGUAUGAAACUUGGGUCUCAGCCAAUCCUCAAGCAACUGAGAGAGAAAUCUCUGGGUUAGAUGGUCAUCUGUGUAGAAUGAGUUUCUGUUCCUCAGGAGUAGCUAUUCCAAAGUCUGUAAUAUUCAGGUUAGGUCAGGGAUUCAGGUGCCCUUGCAAGUAGAUAUUACCAUCUUGUUCGUUUUGAAAGAAAAAAAUGGUGAAACAGAAGACAAAGUCAGUUUUAAGUUAUAUAGUACUAGUGCUUUAAUGUCUGAAUAUCUUGAAGUGAAAAAAACAAUGAAAACAAAAAAGUGAACAGAAGAAAGGGAAGAUGAGCUAACACUCCAAAGACCCCAUCGUGAUUUUGCCUUAUUAUACUAAAUCUGUAGAUCAAUCUAUAAGAUUUGACCUCUUUACAACACAACCAUUGUAACGUGGCAUUUGUACGUCUUUUAUCUCAGUAGUUUCAAAGGCUUCUAUUAAUGUCUCUAAAUUUAUUUUACCAAAUUUAUUUGUAGGGCUGUUUUUGGCUUCUCUUCUAAAUAAAUGUGAACCCUUCUCUGUC